GUCUUUUCCUGAACUCUGAGAUGCUGCCAGCUGAUUCUAUACCUAAAGUGUCUGCAGCAUCAGUCCCUCAGAUGACUUUACAACAACCUUAUGAAACUGGAAGGAAGUAACUGGGGCUCAGAGACACAGAGAUCAUACCUCUGAAGAGUUGAUGGAGCCAAUUAGAUGCCGAAAACAAACUUUAAACUUAAUUCCUGUGUGGAUUGAAGAUGCAACACCCACUGUAGUCUCAUGUGUUUGGACACUUGAUCUCCAACUGUUCGUGCUGCUAGGAAAAGUUUUGGAACCUUG
RNAcentral lists this long non-coding RNA (291 nucleotides) under Cricetulus griseus (Chinese hamster). RNAcentral's name for it is "lncRNA (ENSCGRG00015031319.1)". The record is from RNAcentral. Lineage: Eukaryota; Metazoa; Chordata; Mammalia; Rodentia; Cricetidae.